UUUAGAUAGAAGAAUCAGCAAUGUUCCAUUUUUAAAGUAUUACUGAAGUGUUGAAAGAGUGGUAAUAAUUUUAGAAGAGGAAUACAUUUUUGUCAGAAAGUAGCAGCCCAUUUCCACCUGCGUGGCAUGAUGCUGUGUACAAAGCACUACAUAGGUAUAGUGCAAGCUUUUCCAUACCUCUCUGCUCAUGUAUUCAUAACCAGAACCAGGAGGACCAUCUGCAAAGGAUGAGAAGAUUUUCAACUGAUGCAGCUCCAGUGAAGUCAAGGUACAAUUAUGCUGUACUAAUAUAUACGUCACUCUGUGAACCAAUGCUGAUUUACUCCUGUCAUUUGCUGUGUUGAACUGAGUGAA
Malaclemys terrapin pileata is the source of this 354-nucleotide long non-coding RNA. RefSeq lists it as uncharacterized. The transcript is spliced from 4 exons. The record is from RefSeq and is a predicted model, not a curated record. Lineage: Eukaryota; Metazoa; Chordata; Testudines; Emydidae.